CGACCUGGGUUCAGACGAGGCUACCCGCUGAACUUAAGCAUAUCAAUAAGCGGAGGAA
RNAcentral lists this ribosomal RNA (58 nucleotides) under Ulvella sp. 4-BER-2007. RNAcentral describes it as "partial 28S large subunit ribosomal RNA". It matches the Rfam family "Eukaryotic large subunit ribosomal RNA", at positions 1 to 58 of the family's 3401-position model. The record is from RNAcentral. Lineage: Eukaryota; Viridiplantae; Chlorophyta; Ulvophyceae; Ulvales; Ulvellaceae.